GUUCUUGUAGUUGAAAUACAACGGUGGUUUUUCGAGUCAUUGGUCUUGGUUAAAGCCCGGGCAAGAAUU
This 69-nucleotide transfer RNA is filed under the name Triphoturus mexicanus (Mexican lampfish). RNAcentral's name for it is "tRNA-Glu". It matches the Rfam family "tRNA". From Rfam's summary of the family: Transfer RNA (tRNA) molecules are approximately 80 nucleotides in length. Their secondary structure includes four short double-helical elements and three loops (D, anti-codon, and T loops). Further hydrogen bonds mediate the characteristic L-shaped molecular structure. tRNAs have two regions of fundamental functional importance: the anti-codon, which is responsible for specific mRNA codon recognition, and the 3' end, to which the tRNAs corresponding amino acid is attached (by aminoacyl-tRNA synthetases). tRNAs cope with the degeneracy of the genetic code in two manners: having more than one tRNA (with a specific anti-codon) for a particular amino acid; and 'wobble' base-pairing, i.e. permitting non-standard base-pairing at the 3rd anti-codon position. The record is from RNAcentral. Lineage: Eukaryota; Metazoa; Chordata; Actinopteri; Myctophiformes; Myctophidae.